AGCCGGUGAUGCAUGAUUAUAUUUGCUACUCUUGAUGGGAUUGAAUCCCAUCUGAUGAUUCUUUAUCCACCAAGAUCUCUGAGGCU
Small nucleolar RNA from Salvia splendens (bonfire salvia), 86 nucleotides. RefSeq annotates it as small nucleolar RNA SNORD24. The record is from RefSeq and is a predicted model, not a curated record. The transcript has a single exon. Lineage: Eukaryota; Viridiplantae; Streptophyta; Magnoliopsida; Lamiales; Lamiaceae.